Molecule: long non-coding RNA, 244 nt
Filed under: Elaeis guineensis (African oil palm)
Lineage: Eukaryota; Viridiplantae; Streptophyta; Magnoliopsida; Arecales; Arecaceae
Description: long non-coding RNA (EGUI_LNC039976)
Source: RNAcentral
AAAGAAGAGUGUCCUAUAAGCCAAUUGUAAGUGUAUUGUGAUGGAACUUUUCUUUGUAAUUUUUUAACUCAUGUAAUAACAUUUAUUAUUUGAGGCAUUGAUUCACCAUUUUAGAUGUAUCUUAUUAUGUUUAAGAUUAUGAUGAACUCUGAAGAUUAGGAUAAUGAUUUCAGGAGACAUGAAUGGGUCAUGCUAGUGAGAUCUAAAAUCUUAAAAUCUUAAUUUUAAAUAUUCCUGAUCAUAG